AAUAUCCUGAAUAGUAUUAGUUAAGUUCUUUUAAGCUCAACAUAUAUGGCGGUAAAAUAUCUAUUCAGAGGAACCUGUAAAUUAAUUGACAAACCACGAUAGUUUCAACUUUAUAUUUAUUUGUAUAUCUCUAUAUUUUGGAGUGUUUUGUAAAAAUAUUUUCUUUAGCUUAGGUUUAUAUUAGGUCAAGGUGCAGUUUUUAGAAGAUUUUGAUGGGUUACAUAAUUAUAAAUUUAUUUAGAAUCAAUUUCUUAUAAUGGUUCUGAAUUAGGAUUUAAUAGUAAAUUACAUUAAUUAAUGUAAGUGGAGUUAUGCCCUAUUUUAUGUACA
This 330-nucleotide ribosomal RNA is filed under the name Macrosteles quadrilineatus (aster leafhopper). RNAcentral describes it as "partial 12S ribosomal RNA". The record is from RNAcentral. Lineage: Eukaryota; Metazoa; Arthropoda; Insecta; Hemiptera; Cicadellidae.